GUCAGGAUGGCCGAGCGGUCUAAGGCGCUGCUUUCAGGUCGCAGUCUCCCCUGGAGGCGUGGGUUCUAAUCCCAUUUCUGACA
This 83-nucleotide transfer RNA is filed under the name Ameiurus melas (black bullhead). It matches the Rfam family "tRNA". Rfam says of the family: Transfer RNA (tRNA) molecules are approximately 80 nucleotides in length. Their secondary structure includes four short double-helical elements and three loops (D, anti-codon, and T loops). Lineage: Eukaryota; Metazoa; Chordata; Actinopteri; Siluriformes; Ictaluridae. The record is from Rfam by way of RNAcentral.